UAAAAAAUCCAAAUUAAAAAAAAAAUUAACUAGGGCAUAUGAAAUUUUCUUUGUCCAGAUAACAGGAGCCACCUAGAAUGCCAGAAUACUUCAGCUUCCUAGAGGAAUGAGGAUACCAGGCAUUCCCCACCUGCUCCUUUCAGAUUUGGGAUUUCCUUUUUUGCUUACAAUGCCCCAAUACAAGAUAAGAAGAGUAGGAAUACAAAAAGAGCCACUGUACAGUGCUAAAGGAACAUCGAACUUGAACUGCAAAGUGCCAAAUGAGGACAAAAAGUUCUUUUAUACUUCGGAAGCCACUAAGGAUGUAGAAUGUACAUUUUAUUUCUACUGAAUUGAAUUUUAUAUUCUGUUUUUAGUUUAUUCUCUGACUGUUGAGCAUUUCUUGGAUGCAAAUCUCCUGUAUUAUUCAUGUACUACUUCACUACUUUUUUUAAGGCCAUAUGCAUAUUUAUUUGUUAAAUAAGAUUCUUAUGCUUUCAUUCAAAUUUCUGAUAAAAAUGUUAGACAAAACAAAGUAAAGCAUAAAAACUAAGGAUAUCCUACUAGACUUGUUUCAAAUAUAAAUAAAUUAAUUAAUUAAUGAUUGACUAUAUGUUUG
RNAcentral lists this long non-coding RNA (598 nucleotides) under Monodelphis domestica (gray short-tailed opossum). RNAcentral's name for it is "lncRNA (ENSMODG00000044800.1)". The record is from RNAcentral. Lineage: Eukaryota; Metazoa; Chordata; Mammalia; Didelphimorphia; Didelphidae.